This 293-nucleotide ribosomal RNA is filed under the name uncultured bacterium. Its description in RNAcentral is "partial 16S ribosomal RNA". It matches the Rfam family "Archaeal small subunit ribosomal RNA", at positions 455 to 747 of the family's 1478-position model. The record is from RNAcentral.
GUGUCAGCAGCCGCGGUAAUACCGGCGGCUCGAGUGGUAGCCGAUAUUAUUGAGUCUAAAGGGUCCGUAGCCGGCUUUGCAAGUCUUUUGGGAAAUCCAGCGGCUUAACCGUUGGUCGUCCGGGAGAUACUACAUUGCUUGGGACUGGGAGAGGUAAGAGGUACUCAGGGGGUAGGAGUGAAAUCCUGUAAUCCUUUGGGGACCACCGGUGGCGAAGGCGUCUUACCAGAACAGGUCCGACGGUGAGGGACGAAAGCUAGGGGCACGAACCGGAUUAGAAACCCCCGUAGUCC